Molecule: ribosomal RNA, 465 nt
Filed under: uncultured bacterium
Lineage: Bacteria
Description: partial 16S ribosomal RNA
Rfam family: Bacterial small subunit ribosomal RNA
Source: RNAcentral
GACGAACGCUGGCGGCGUGCUUAACACAUGCAAGUCGAACGGAAAGGCCCUGCUUGCAGGGUACUCGAGUGGCGAACGGGUGAGUAACACGUGGGUGAUCUGCCCUGCACUUCGGGAUAAGCCUGGGAAACUGGGUCUAAUACCGGAUAGGAGCCAUUUUUAGUGUGAUGGUUGGAAAGUUUUUUCGGUGUAGGAUGAGCUCGCGGCCUAUCAGCUUGUUGGUGGGGUAAUGGCCUACCAAGGCGGCGACGGGUAGCCGGCCUGAGAGGGUGGACGGCCACAUUGGGACUGAGAUACGGCCCAGACUCCUACGGGAGGCAGCAGUGGGGAAUAUUGCACAAUGGGCGCAAGCCUGAUGCAGCGACGCCGCGUCGGGGAUGACGGCCUUCGGGUUGUAAACUCCUUUCGCUAGGGACGAAGCUUUUUGUGACGGUACCUAGAGAAGAAGCACCGGCUAACUACGUG